GCGCCGGUGGGGCGCCCGCACGGGGCUGCUCUCCGCCGAGCGGCUGCGCUGAAUGAGGGAACCGGAGGAGCCGCCGCCGCCAGGCUGGACUCCAUGUCCUUCUUGAGGUCUGGAGAACACCUCCUACGCGCACCCCUCUGCAGUGGCACCCCUGCCCUCAUGACAGGGGUCAUCAAGGUCUCAGUGACAAUGAAGCAGCCUCUGGAGUCUGACUACC
This is a non-coding RNA of Sus scrofa (pig), 217 nucleotides long. The record is from RefSeq and is a predicted model, not a curated record. NCBI's taxonomy places the organism in Eukaryota, Metazoa, Chordata, Mammalia, Artiodactyla, Suidae.